Molecule: long non-coding RNA, 1892 nt
Organism: Lagenorhynchus albirostris (white-beaked dolphin)
Lineage: Eukaryota; Metazoa; Chordata; Mammalia; Artiodactyla; Delphinidae
Exons: 6
Source: RefSeq, a predicted model, not a curated record
CCGCUCCCGGCCGCGUGCAGCGCGAACCUCCGCGCAAGCGCCAAGGCUGGGGCAGUUGGCCGACAUGCCACUGCGCAUGUGUACCAACUACAAGGGUUGGUGCUGGGGUUGAGGCUUUCGAUUAACACCGCAGCCGAAGAGGAAGGUAAUGCUGUGCCUCUUUGUCGAGCCAAACCCACCCCCAGCUUUAUUAACCUUCAAGCAAGUUCCCCACCAGCCACUUGCCUGAAAAUCCCGGCAACAAAGCUGUCCUCAGUGGGGUUUUCCAGAGGCUACAUGGAUGUGAUAUCACAACAGAUUGGAUACAGGCCCCUGAUCAACCAAGCCAUUCACCACUACCGUCCAGAACUCCAUGUAUACUCGACCUCAGGCCACUUCUGCCAUACAAAGUAAACGACUGACUAGGUUAAACCAUGAACGCACAUCCUUGGUGAAGAGGGUAAGCCAUUAUCGACCUUUGUUUCCCUGAGGUUCUGAGACUCUUAGAGCUAGAAAAGGCCUGAAAGUUCGUCGUUGUGCAUCAGAAUCACCCAGAGGGCUUGUUCCAUGCAGACUGCUGGCCCCGCUCCUGGAGUUUCUGAUUCGAAUUUUACUGUUCAGGAAUUGAUCACAGACCCCCCACAGGAUCGCAAGAAUUGCACCACUGAAGCAGAGCUGCUGUCAGGCCUUGGGAACUGAGACUACAUCUCAUCCAUCUUGGCAUCCUGAGAACAGAGCAUGAUUCUGCUCUGUUUGAUGGUGAUGGAACGUGGAAGGUAUUCCUCCAGAAUCUAGCCCGUAGCGUAGCACCUGGCACAUAGCAGGAAUGCAAACAAAAUGUAUUACAUGAGUGGAAAACAUUUUAAUUUGAUAUCACUGCCUUCUGACAAACUUUUUUCCCAAGGUAUUGUCAUUUUCAUUUUACAGAUGAAGAAACACAAGUAAUCUGAUUUUGGCAAUCUUUUACAUGGAAGUUGUUUUGGUGAGCCUCUGGGGACAGAAAGCCAUAUUUGAUUUUACCGUUGGCUGUAUGUAAACACAACAAUAUUUUGUAUGGUGCCACUGUGGCUGUGGUUUUUGGGGAAAAACGAGGUCUGGGAUUUUCCACCCCCAGAAAAUGGGUGCUGAGGAGUUCUCUAGUAUAGUUUCUUUUUCUAGUUUCAUACCAGACUGUUAGACAAAAAGGAAUCCCCCUGUUCCACCUUACCUGUGAAAUUAGGCCAGAUCUCACGGUAAGCCUCACUUCCUCUGGGAAGCCUUCGCUGAUCACCCCCAGCAUGGGUUGGAUCCCCAUAGGACCUGUCUCCCCCACUAUCACCUUGGCAAUGCGAUUGCCUGCUGAUUCACUUGCAUCCCCCCCAGAUAGACCUCCCACCCACACCCAGGGAUAUAUCUCGUUCCACUGUAUCUCCAGCCCCUAGCACCGUGUCUGGCACACAGUAGGUGCUCAAUAUAUGUUUGUUGAAUGAAUGAAGGCUCUGCCUUCUCCCAAAUCUCCUCUAUUCAAGAGUUGUUGUGUCACAGGGGCUGCUGGUCUGAUGGCCCUUUCUGAAUAUGCUUGUCCUAGGCCCCAGACUCUGCCGGUCACUGCCUCCAGCCGAUGACAGGAAAACACAUCAAGUCUGUGUCUGCCCCCUCCAUCCUUUCCUGUCCCCAGAGGCGCAUGUGCCCAUAGUAUGUUGGAGUCAGCAACCCAUUUGCCCUCUCUGCUCAGCCAAUCAGAACAAUAAUAACCAUAUCUGUUGACUGCUUAUGAAAAUGCCAAUGCUCUACAUCAAUUAUUUGUAAUCUUCAUAACACUUCCACAAAGGGAAUAUUAUUACUCCUAUAGAUAAGGAAACUGAGACUCAAAGAGAGCUCAACAAUUUGCUGAGGUCACACAGCAAAGAUGUAUUGAAUGAAGGAAGGAAUGA